CUACGGGUGGCUGCAGUGGGGAAUAUUGCACAAUGGGCGCAAGCCUGAUGCAGCCAUGCCGCGUGUAUGAAGAAGGCCUUCGGGUUGUAAAGUACUUUCAGCGGGGAGGAAGGGAGUAAAGUUAAUACCUUUGCUCAUUGACGUUACCCGCAGAAGAAGCACCGGCUAACUCCGUGCCAGCAGCCGCGGUAAUACGGAGGGUGCAAGCGUUAAUCGGAAUUACUGAGCGUAAAGCGCACGCAGGCGGUUUGUUAAGUCAGAUGUGAAAUCCCCGGGCUCAACCUCGGAACUGCAUCUGAUACUGGCAAGCUUGAGUCUCGUAGAGGGGGGUAGAAUUCCAGGUGUAGCGGUGAAAUGCGUAGAGAUCUGGAGGAAUACCGGUGGCGAAGGCGGCCCCCUGGACGAAGACUGACGCUCAGGUGCGAAAGCGUGGGGAGCAAACAGGAUUAGAUACCCUUGUAGUC
This 464-nucleotide ribosomal RNA is filed under the name uncultured bacterium. RNAcentral's name for it is "partial 16S ribosomal RNA". It matches the Rfam family "Bacterial small subunit ribosomal RNA", at positions 339 to 795 of the family's 1533-position model. The record is from RNAcentral.